Molecule: long non-coding RNA, 796 nt
Organism: Acomys russatus (golden spiny mouse)
Lineage: Eukaryota; Metazoa; Chordata; Mammalia; Rodentia; Muridae
Exons: 3
Source: RefSeq, a predicted model, not a curated record
CGCUGUAUCAAAGUACCCGCCUGUCAAUGCAUGUGCCCAUGGAAAGGGCAUCGCCUUCAGCUUAGGAAGAACAUGAAAUGCAAAGUCAGGAAUAAUACUCAUCCAGCCAGAGCAAGUUCAGCCUCAGAUGCCCAUAACUAGAUGUGGUAACUGACCCCCGAUCUCAUCCGCAAAGGCAUUGCCCUCAUGACCAUCAUUUCUAAAAGGCAUCGCCUCCUAGUACUGCACACUGUCAGGUGCCUGUGCUGCUUUGGAAGUUGUAGAACCUCUGGAAGGAAUCUUGAGAGGCGGAGCCAAGCUCGAGGAAGCUGGUUCUCUGGGAGACACAUGCUAAGGUUAGUAGCCCAGCCAUUCUUCCUGUGCUGGCUCUGCCUCCAGACCCACGAAAAACAUUAACAAGCUCUGUCACGAGCUCUCUCGCCCAUGGCCGAAAAGCCCUGCUGCUGUGCUCCACCUCUACCAUGAACUGUUAACAUGCAUCCUUCUUCAUCCGAGUUGUUUCCUACGGGGGUAUUUGGUUAUGUUGCCAAGAAAAGUGAUGGGCACAAUGCUAGCUUCCAUUCAUCUGAGUCACCCUCAACAAAUACGGGCAUAAGUUGCUCAAAGGAUCCUAUCGAAGUCUCCAAGAACAUUCUUUAAAAAGGUCAUGAACACCGAUGCAAACAUUUCUGUAAUGUUUUGAUUUAGAGGCCUCUGAGUCAAUAUUUAUUGCAGUCCCAGUCACAAUAGUUUGGUUAUUGAACCAACCUAGGCACCCAACAACAAAGCGAUCGGUAAAGAAGUUGUGGUCUUUACA